This 482-nucleotide ribosomal RNA is filed under the name uncultured bacterium. RNAcentral's name for it is "bacterial SSU rRNA". It matches the Rfam family "Bacterial small subunit ribosomal RNA", at positions 30 to 507 of the family's 1533-position model. The record is from RNAcentral.
UUGAACGCUGGCGGCAGGCCUAACGCAUGCAAGUCGAGCGGAUGAGUGGAGCUUGCUCCAUGAUUCAGCGGCGGACGGGUGAGUAAUGCCUAGGAAUCUGCCUGGUAGUGGGGACAACGUUUCGAAAGGAACGCUAAUACCGCAUACGUCCUACGGGAGAAAGCAGGGGGACCUUCGGGCCUUGCGUUAUCAGAUGAGCCUAGGUCGGAUUAGCUAGUAGGUGAGGUAAUGGCUCACCUAGGCGACGAUCCGUAACUGGUCUGAGAGGAUGAUCAGUCACACUGGAACUGAGACACGGUCCAGACUCCUACGGGAGGCAGCAGUGGGGAAUAUUGGACAAUGGGCGAAAGCCUGAUCCAGCCAUGCCGCGUGUGUGAAGAAGGUCUUCGGAUUGUAAAGCACUUUAAGUUGGGAGGAAGGGCAGUAAGUUAAUACCUUGCUGUUUGACGUUACCAACAGAAUAAGCACCGGCUAACUUCGUG